RNAcentral lists this long non-coding RNA (540 nucleotides) under Lingula anatina. Its description in RNAcentral is "uncharacterized LOC106173510". The record is from RNAcentral. Lineage: Eukaryota; Metazoa; Brachiopoda; Lingulata; Lingulida; Lingulidae.
GCAUCUGUAAUCUGUUGCGGCUGAGGCGACGAGUUUAUUUCAUUGUGAAAUCUGCGAAACAAACCAAAAGAACAAGUAAGCAAUCCACAAUGCGGGCCCUGUUGGUGAUUUUGCUAAUUGCGGGUAUUGCAGCUUUCUCGGGAUCGGUUCGUUACCCUCCAGCUGACAAUGGAAAGUGCCCCGGUGAUCUGGUGAUCCUGAAAGACCAAUCAAAAUGUGCCUGGAAGUGCCCGACCACGUGCACGUCACAUGACCCUCCGCCGUGCGUCAGGCUGUGCUGGAAAGGCUGCGUGUGUCCCAAGGAUAAACCGAUCCUACUGUCACCUGAUCCCUGGACAUGUGGAACCAGGGCGGAUUGCAAUGCUGCCUAGACAACCGAGCCAUGGUGCAUAAAUAUGCGUCAGAAGAUUUUGAAAAUAGAAAAGAGGAAGAAAUAAAAUCUAACUUGAUUGAAAAUUAUGAAAUCCAUUCAGAAUUGUUUUUUAAACUACUAUUUGUGUAUUCCCUAAAAAAACUUUCUGCUUUUUUCAUUUUAUACAU